RNAcentral lists this RNase P RNA (392 nucleotides) under Thermodesulfobacteriota bacterium. RNAcentral's name for it is "RNase P RNA component class A". It matches the Rfam family "Bacterial RNase P class A". Rfam says of the family: Ribonuclease P (RNase P) is a ubiquitous endoribonuclease, found in archaea, bacteria and eukarya as well as chloroplasts and mitochondria. Its best characterised activity is the generation of mature 5'-ends of tRNAs by cleaving the 5'-leader elements of precursor-tRNAs. Lineage: Bacteria; Pseudomonadati; Thermodesulfobacteriota. The record is from RNAcentral.
GGAGGGUUUAGGAGGUGGUUGCUCCGAGCUCUUUGAAAAGGCUCGGGGAGGAAAGUCCGGGCUCCACAGGGGAGGACGCCGGGUAACGCCCGGAGGGAGCAAUCCCUGGAAAGGGCCACAGAAAACAGACCGCCAGCGGCCAGAGGACGAAUGUCCUCUGGUGCGGGCAAGGGUGAAAAGGUGGGGUAAGAGCCCACCGCACUCCCUGGCAACAGGGAGUGGCACGGCAACCCCCGUCCGGAGCAAGGCCAAAAGGAGCGCAUGGGUGCCCCGCCCGAAGCGCUCGGGUAGGCCGCUUGAGGAGAGGGGUAACCCUCUCCCAAGAUAAAUAACCACCCUCUGGGGUAAUAUCCCCCAGAGAACAGAACCCGGCUUACCUAAACCCUCCCCUC